UACUUAGUAAGGAAGCAGAUCGCGUCGAGACAGGGCGGAUUUCGUGCUUCUCGCGAUCCCGACUCGCCAAGGACAGGUCUCGCACUCGAAUAAUCAUCGGGACUGCUGAAAAUGAGAAAAGCGGACGUGGGUCGACUGCAAACAUCGUACGAGGUCCUUUCGUCCCGAGGGAAGUCCCGUUACGGCUUCGCGCGGCAUGCCGACCAUCGAAUGGAUCGUUCGUCGUCAACGGGGAAGGGUAGAGAAGUAGUCGUCGCGGCGCUUUAAACAAAUACAAGCCGAUCACCGUCGCGGUAAAAGUGAGAACUAUGCGAGGUUGGCAGCUGCGGGGACGAUAAUCCCAGAGGACGAAGGUGCAACAAGACUCCGAGAUACUAAUCGACGUUCACACUCACAUAUAUGCAAUUCGAUCGUAGAAACAAAAGUUGACUAAUGCGAUGCCAACGUAAAUCAGAUUGAAUACUUGAAAAGCCGACGAAAUAUUUUAAUUACCCGGCCGGAAGUUGUAACUAGCAUAAUAAUAAACACUACAUAGGCGUUCGCGCCGCCUUGUGACGUAAUGUAAAAAAGAAUUCACAUCUUAGCAGAAAAUCACACAGAAAAGCAGAAGCCAGUCAGAAUUCACGCUGGUGAGGUCGGGUGGCAGUUUUUGCUUUUCUACCAGCGCGAGCACUGAUAGGCGUCCGGCUUUCUAUUUUCUGCCUUUCUGCCAAGCCGGCCUAAGACUCAAUCGCGAAAAAACACUUGACGCACGAGAGUAUCAAAACAAGGGGCGAAAAGGGCUACGUCAUCCGGCAUCGCUCGAGAUGAAAACAAUCAACACUGUCGGAACAUUCUGGACGGUUACGCGUAUCCCCGCGUUCUCCCCAGGUGUUUCCAUUACGCCUCGAGUCGGCGAGUGGUACACAUACAUACAUACGCGCGUCGGUAUGUCGUUGAUCAUUUUCGUCAGACGUCUAAAAUUUUCAUCAGCUUCCGAAAUACUUAUAUUUAAUCAGACUCUCUCGUCGCGUAAAGUUAAUUAACACGCGUUUCUUCAAUCGAAUCGCGAGUGUCAGUGUCAUGAAUGAGUGAUCGGAGUGCUACGUCGGAACAGCCGGGAGCCCGGAUAUUGCAUCGGGAAGACAGGACGAAGGACGCAGGCAGCGAUAUAUCACGUAUCUCAAGGAUAACCCAGAUGUUUACACCGCACAGUUCAUAAAGAAAUCUCUUCGAUGCUCUUUCGCUUACCUCUUCUGACGUGUGGUUGUUCCGUAGCCGCACCGUGCUUUCCGCGUGCGGUAUCCCUUGGACGUCACUUCUGCUACGUGAUCUCAGCAUCCACGUGGCGCUUUCCAGCAGUAUUCCUUAAAGUCUCGAGUGAAAAGUUAAAAGGAAGUAUCCUGACACAUUUCGAAUAAAGCCACGACGAAUCGACCAAUACCUGGUGAUAAAUGGUGGGAAAUG
Molecule: long non-coding RNA, 1446 nt
Organism: Odontomachus brunneus
Lineage: Eukaryota; Metazoa; Arthropoda; Insecta; Hymenoptera; Formicidae
Exons: 5
Source: RefSeq, a predicted model, not a curated record